RNAcentral lists this ribosomal RNA (1189 nucleotides) under Staphylococcus aureus. RNAcentral's name for it is "bacterial SSU rRNA". It matches the Rfam family "Bacterial small subunit ribosomal RNA", at positions 73 to 1246 of the family's 1533-position model. Lineage: Bacteria; Bacillati; Bacillota; Bacilli; Caryophanales; Staphylococcaceae. The record is from RNAcentral.
GAGAAGCUUGCUUCUCUGAUGUUAGCGGCGGACGGGUGAGUAACACGUGGAUAACCUACCUAUAAGACUGGGAUAACUUCGGGAAACCGGAGCUAAUACCGGAUAAUAUUUUGAACCGCAUGGUUCAAAAGUGAAAGACGGUCUUGCUGUCACUUAUAGAUGGAUCCGCGCUGCAUUAGCUAGUUGGUAAGGUAACGGCUUACCAAGGCAACGAUGCAUAGCCGACCUGAGAGGGUGAUCGGCCACACUGGAACUGAGACACGGUCCAGACUCCUACGGGAGGCAGCAGUAGGGAAUCUUCCGCAAUGGGCGAAAGCCUGACGGAGCAACGCCGCGUGAGUGAUGAAGGUCUUCGGAUCGUAAAACUCUGUUAUUAGGGAAGAACAUAUGUGUAAGUAACUGUGCACAUCUUGACGGUACCUAAUCAGAAAGCCACGGCUAACUACGUGCCAGCAGCCGCGGUAAUACGUAGGUGGCAAGCGUUAUCCGGAAUUAUUGGGCGUAAAGCGCGCGUAGGCGGUUUUUUAAGUCUGAUGUGAAAGCCCACGGCUCAACCGUGGAGGGUCAUUGGAAACUGGAAAACUUGAGUGCAGAAGAGGAAAGUGGAAUUCCAUGUGUAGCGGUGAAAUGCGCAGAGAUAUGGAGGAACACCAGUGGCGAAGGCGACUUUCUGGUCUGUAACUGACGCUGAUGUGCGAAAGCGUGGGGAUCAAACAGGAUUAGAUACCCUGGUAGUCCACGCCGUAAACGAUGAGUGCUAAGUGUUAGGGGGUUUCCGCCCCUUAGUGCUGCAGCUAACGCAUUAAGCACUCCGCCUGGGGAGUACGACCGCAAGGUUGAAACUCAAAGGAAUUGACGGGGACCCGCACAAGCGGUGGAGCAUGUGGUUUAAUUCGAAGCAACGCGAAGAACCUUACCAAAUCUUGACAUCCUUUGACAACUCUAGAGAUAGAGCCUUCCCCUUCGGGGGACAAAGUGACAGGUGGUGCAUGGUUGUCGUCAGCUCGUGUCGUGAGAUGUUGGGUUAAGUCCCGCAACGAGCGCAACCCUUAAGCUUAGUUGCCAUCAUUAAGUUGGGCACUCUAAGUUGACUGCCGGUGACAAACCGGAGGAAGGUGGGGAUGACGUCAAAUCAUCAUGCCCCUUAUGAUUUGGGCUACACACGUGCUACAAUGGACAAUACAAAGGG